This 253-nucleotide ribosomal RNA is filed under the name uncultured bacterium. RNAcentral's name for it is "partial 16S ribosomal RNA". It matches the Rfam family "Bacterial small subunit ribosomal RNA", at positions 524 to 776 of the family's 1533-position model. The record is from RNAcentral.
UACGUAGGGUGCAAGCGUUAAUCGGAAUUACUGGGCGUAAAGCGUGCGCAGGCGGUGAUGUAAGACAGUUGUGAAAUCCCCGGGCUCAACCUGGGAACUGCAUCUGAGACUGCAUUGCUGGAGUGCGGCAGAGGGGGAUGGAAUUCCGCGUGUAGCAGUGAAAUGCGUAGAUAUGCGGAGGAACACCGAUGGCGAAGGCAAGCACCUGGGCCUGCACUGACGCUCAGGCACGAAAGCGUGGGGAGCAAACAGG